GGCGGCGGCGGGGGGAGGACUUGGAGGCGCCCGUGCAGCGGACGACGCCUCCUCCUGCUCCUCCUCCGCCUUCUCUCCCUUGCCGCGCGGAGGCCGCGAGGAGUUGGAGGCAGAGGCCGGAUCGAGGAGGGCGCAGGCGCGGGAGUACUCCGUGGAGGCGAUGGCGGCGUCGAUCUGCGACAUGAGGGACUCCGGGUUCGAAGGGAAGCUGCGGAUCGCGUCGAACGGGCUCCAGCCUCGCCGCCCGCCGCCGGCGCUGCCCGACAUGUCUGCUGCUGCGUUGCGGAUUAGAAUUGAUUGGCAGUAGUACUGUAGCAGUGGCGACUAGCUAGGAGGAAUAGGGAGUAGGGGGAAGUAGGUAAGACCCUGCCUGGCAUACCGUUUUCUACCCAAUACACCUGUAAAAUAAAUACAGACCUCCACCCACAUGUUUAAUUUUCAGCCGGAAAAUACUCAUGUCCAGUAAAAUACACUUAUAAAUUUUACAUCCAUGUAUUAAAUUACACCUAUACCAAGCGCGCCCUAAGGGCAUCUCCAAGGCUGACUUGCAGAUCUCAAAUUGGGCCGCGCAUCCGUCCCGACGCAUAAAAUAACCGUCAAAAUACGGAUCGGGGCAGAAAAACAGCCCGAUCAGACCCCGCAUUCCGUCCCGGUUCAAAAUAAAU
Molecule: long non-coding RNA, 665 nt
Filed under: Hordeum vulgare
Lineage: Eukaryota; Viridiplantae; Streptophyta; Magnoliopsida; Poales; Poaceae
Description: long non-coding RNA (HVUL_LNC016790)
Source: RNAcentral